Non-coding RNA from Caenorhabditis elegans, 130 nucleotides. The record is from Ensembl. NCBI's taxonomy places the organism in Eukaryota, Metazoa, Nematoda, Chromadorea, Rhabditida, Rhabditidae.
CUGACAAAAGGUCAAAAAGAAGCGAUGCAAAAUAAAGGACAGAGAGCAAGAAGAAGAAGAGCUUAUGUUGUUCUCAAAUUUCGCAUAGAGCUCAGGAGGGCGCAAACAAAGCGUAAUUCGAGGCGACGAA